Non-coding RNA from Pelobates cultripes (western spadefoot toad), 219 nucleotides. NCBI's taxonomy places the organism in Eukaryota, Metazoa, Chordata, Amphibia, Anura, Pelobatidae. The record is from the annotation of a GenBank genome assembly.
UAUUUACACAGUUUAACCUAUAUGUAUUGUGGAUUAAAUGCACGUUAUUGUGAGAAUUGUUGCUCUUAAGCUCUAUUAUACACUCAGACACCCCAACAAUAUGGUCCUCCGAGAAGAUUGGGACAUUAUGACAUAAAAGAGAGGCACAGGGAACCCAAAAUAGGGACUUUCCUUCCUAAAUAGGGGCAAUUGGAAGGUAUGUCAAAACUGGCAGUGAUG